This 270-nucleotide ribosomal RNA is filed under the name Bacillus thuringiensis. Its description in RNAcentral is "partial 16S ribosomal RNA". It matches the Rfam family "Bacterial small subunit ribosomal RNA", at positions 1 to 258 of the family's 1533-position model. Lineage: Bacteria; Bacillati; Bacillota; Bacilli; Caryophanales; Bacillaceae. RNAcentral also lists the same sequence under 1 other name. The record is from RNAcentral.
UUUAUUGGAGAGUUUGAUCCUGGCUCAGGAUGAACGCUGGCGGCGUGCCUAAUACAUGCAAGUCGAGCGAAUGGAUUGAGAGCUUGCUCUUAUGAAGUUAGCGGCGGACGGGUGAGUAACACGUGGGUAACCUGCCCAUAAGACUGGGAUAACUCCGGGAAACCGGGGCUAAUACCGGAUAACAUUUUGAACCGCAUGGUUCGAAAUUGAAAGGCGGCUUCGGCUGUCACUUAUGGAUGGACCCGCGUCGCAUUAGCUAGUUGGUGAGGU